AGGACGAACGCUGGCGGCGUGCUUAACACAUGCAAGUCGAGCGGUAAGGCCCUUUCCGGGGGUACACGAGCGGCGAACGGGUGAGUAACACGUGAGCAAUCUGCCCUUCACUUCGGGAUAAGCCUCGGAAACGGGGUCUAAUACCGGAUAUGACUGCGCCAUGCAUGUGGUGUGGUGGAAAGUUCUGGCGGUGAGGGAUGAGCUCGCGGCCUAUCAGU
Molecule: ribosomal RNA, 218 nt
Filed under: uncultured soil bacterium
Lineage: Bacteria
Description: partial 16S ribosomal RNA
Rfam family: Bacterial small subunit ribosomal RNA
Source: RNAcentral